RNAcentral lists this long non-coding RNA (1000 nucleotides) under Vulpes vulpes (red fox). RNAcentral describes it as "lncRNA (ENSVVUG00000020119.1)". The record is from RNAcentral. Lineage: Eukaryota; Metazoa; Chordata; Mammalia; Carnivora; Canidae.
GGUGCCCUGCAAGAACGUGUGGAUCAGGUGAAUAGGGUUGUCAAGGGCCUGAGCCCUGACAGCCACCUUUCUGUAAUUCAUGCACCAAAGUGGGUCUUUAUUACAUAAUUUGCAUAAUGGCCCCCGUGUGCUAGCUGUGGCCCCACUUGCACAGCAGGGGCAGGACAAGCUUGCAAAGAUACCAACUACACUGACCUCCUUUUCUGAUUCCCCAUGGUCUUCAAGGCUGGUGUGGGCAAUUCCGUUUCCUGUGGUGUCAGCAAGGACCCCAACCCUCGAGGGCCUGCCUGGGCUAGGAUGUCUCAGAGGACACACUCACAUGACGGGCAUUGGUGGCAGAUGUGUGGGCUCUGCUAGGAGCUUAGCCCCAGCUGUGGGCCAGGGUGCCAAGCCAGGGCCUCUCCAUGUGCUUUGGUUUUCUCAGUCUGGUCACUGGGUUCUCAGACAGAGCUGCCCAAGAUCGAGCAUUCCAAGAAACCAAGUUAGAAGCUGCCAAGGUUCUCUGGACUCCGGCCUGGAACUGUUGCGAGAUGGACUGGGGAGACCCUGGGCCCUGGGGUCUCAACCCAAUCCGGCCCAAAGAUGUCACCAAAAAGAAUUGUUCUCCUCACCAGAAAGAAUUCAAAGACAGACACAGGGCAGUGGAUGAUGGGUUCAAGCAGGAAAGUUUAUUAGAAGCCGAAGUAUCCUCUCGAGGUGUGAGAGCAGGUCAGCUCAAGGGGGAGAGAGCCGCCCGCCCUGGAGUUUCAGCUCCUAUCUUUCAUUGACGGCUGUUAACCAGGGGGCAGAAUAAUUAUGACUUCAGGCAGAUUUCUUGGAAACAAGAUUACAUGCUUUUUUGCUGGUUACAUGCUUCCGCCCCCCCUUAUUUGUUUGUUUUUUACAUUUUUAAAAUUUAAAUUCAAUUUGCCAACAUAUAGUAUAACACCCAGUGCUCAUCCCAUCAAGUGCCCUCCUCAGUGCCCAUCACCCAAUUACCCCAUCUGCCCACCCACCUCCU